AAGGCCUUAGCUUAAUUAAAGCAUCUGUUUUGCAUGCAGGAGAUGUGGGUUAGUAUCCCGCAGGCCUUA
RNAcentral lists this transfer RNA (69 nucleotides) under Bodianus oxycephalus. RNAcentral's name for it is "tRNA-Ala". It matches the Rfam family "tRNA". Rfam says of the family: Transfer RNA (tRNA) molecules are approximately 80 nucleotides in length. Their secondary structure includes four short double-helical elements and three loops (D, anti-codon, and T loops). Further hydrogen bonds mediate the characteristic L-shaped molecular structure. tRNAs have two regions of fundamental functional importance: the anti-codon, which is responsible for specific mRNA codon recognition, and the 3' end, to which the tRNAs corresponding amino acid is attached (by aminoacyl-tRNA synthetases). tRNAs cope with the degeneracy of the genetic code in two manners: having more than one tRNA (with a specific anti-codon) for a particular amino acid; and 'wobble' base-pairing, i.e. permitting non-standard base-pairing at the 3rd anti-codon position. The record is from RNAcentral. Lineage: Eukaryota; Metazoa; Chordata; Actinopteri; Labriformes; Labridae.